Molecule: long non-coding RNA, 1028 nt
Organism: Parus major (Great Tit)
Lineage: Eukaryota; Metazoa; Chordata; Aves; Passeriformes; Paridae
Exons: 3
Source: RefSeq, a predicted model, not a curated record
CCCGCCGCGGCGGGGGCGGCUCCGCUCGGCGCUGCGCGACCCGCGGGCGUCUCGAGACACCGGCAUCUCCUCACGGCCGCCAUCCCCGCGCCCCGCCUGCAUCCCCUCACGGCCGGCAUCCCUGCCCCCCACGCCAUCUCCUCACGGCCGCCAUCCCCCCGACCCCCGCCAUUCCCGCGCCCCGCCGGCAUCCCCCGCACCGUUAGUAUCCCCGUGCUGUACCCGGACCUGCGGCGGGAGGUCAGGGUUGGCGAGGGCUGCUGCGCCCCGGGAGCGGGACCGCCUUGUGAGGGGGAAAAACAAACCCUUGGCAGGUGUUUGCGUAGGACACUUAGGUGUGAGCAGUGAACGCCUGGAAAAGGCGUGAGGGAUCGAUGGCAGGGGAUUCUGAGGGGACACCUGAGGCAGCCCGUGCCGUGCUCUGCAGCCGCCCCGAUGCCGUGGUGCCGGCACCGCCAGGGUACACGUGGUGAAUAGUGCCCUGCAUUGUACGUGCUCGAGUGAUCACGGAAAGAGUGGUCAUCUCCUGUCACCCAUCCCUGUCCUAAUAACAGAUGACCCCAAGUCAGCAGAAAACAGAGAGAAUUUCUUCCUUUACUUCUCUUUGCCUAAAAGGAUAUCCCCACCUUGUUUGUGCUGAAGAGGAACCCUCACUGCAGCUCAGGUGAUGUGCAUUUUCCACCAUGAGACCCUCAUCAGGAACAAAACUGAGCGUUGCAUCAGACCUUCCUCCUGCACACCUCAGUCAAGAUUUAGAAAAUUAUGUCUCAGGAGCUUCUACCUCUCUGAAUGUUAAUUUCCUCAUCUUUUCAUAUAGCCUGCUUAGAGGCUAAGUGAUUUAACCUGUUCAAUAUAGAAAGUCUUCUUUUUCAAAAUUAAACAUAGCUGUGUUGCAGGAAGUCCCUGUGUGAUUCCUGGGGCAUGUGACAGACAAUCAUAUUGUGGCCAGUACAUCCAGACCCACUCCACAGCAAGCCUACAAGAAAGUCAAGUGGCUGCUUUCUCAGAAGAUGUCCUUGUGAUAACUG